This is a non-coding RNA of Acanthosepion pharaonis, 109 nucleotides long. The record is from the annotation of a GenBank genome assembly. Lineage: Eukaryota; Metazoa; Mollusca; Cephalopoda; Sepiida; Sepiidae.
AGCCGUAUCGCGUUGAAUCACCGGUUCCCACCCGAUCACCGACGUUAAGCAACAUUGAGGCUUGUCGGUACCCAGAUUGGUGACCACUUGGGAAUAUUAAGCGUUGUCA